ACGCUGAACACACCGGUUCUCGUUCAAUCACUGAAGUUAAGCAACGUCAAACCUGUUCCGUACUUAGAUGGAUAACCGCUUUGGAAUACCAGGUGCUGUAA
Acanthosepion pharaonis is the source of this 101-nucleotide non-coding RNA. NCBI's taxonomy places the organism in Eukaryota, Metazoa, Mollusca, Cephalopoda, Sepiida, Sepiidae. The record is from the annotation of a GenBank genome assembly.